AUGGCACACACAAAACAAUCAGGUUCAGUACCCUUGCACAAACAUAUUGGGAAAUCACAAGUUUUCCGAGUUUUGGCUAGAAGAAGAUUUAGUUUCUUUAAUGAGCACCCUUUUUUGUUGCCAGAAAACAAGAUUUUGUUGCCAGGUAAAACAAAAAAGCUUCUAGUUAUACCUGAAAAACAGAAUAAUACAAAUGGCAGUGAAAAAUGGCACACACAAAACAAUCAGGUUCAGUACCCUUGCACAAACAUAUUGGGAAAUCACAAGUUUUCCGAGUUUUGGCUAGAAGAAGAUUUAGUUUCUUUAAUGAGCACCCUUUUUUGUUGCCAGAAAACAAGAUUUUGUUGCCAGGUAAAACAAAAAAGCUUCUAG
Molecule: ribosomal RNA, 372 nt
Filed under: Triticum aestivum (bread wheat)
Lineage: Eukaryota; Viridiplantae; Streptophyta; Magnoliopsida; Poales; Poaceae
Description: partial small subunit ribosomal RNA
Source: RNAcentral